This 627-nucleotide long non-coding RNA is filed under the name Cyanistes caeruleus (blue tit). RNAcentral's name for it is "lncRNA (ENSCCEG00000021497.1)". The record is from RNAcentral. Lineage: Eukaryota; Metazoa; Chordata; Aves; Passeriformes; Paridae.
CUGUGCUCUUCGAGCACUGCAAAUCCAUGUUCCUCUGUGGCUGGAAGUGAUGUGCUGCUCUUGGCAUUCUACCCAGCCUGGCUCUCCUUGGUGUUCAGUGGCUUCUGCAGGGUGGGGUUCAUUUCUUUUGUUCCUGAGAGCUGAAUAGGAGAAAGGGACAUUUCAGCUUUUCUUGAUAAAGGUGAUCAGUCCAAAAGAGGGAGUUUGGGGGGAGGAGUGGAUGUUGCUGAAUGGAGUGGAACGAGUUACUCAUUCUUCAGAAUAGCCAGAAGGUGCAACCCAGGAGGAAAAACAUAUUUAACAAUGACAGAAGUGCCCCACAGUCUUUUUGUCUUUGGGCCUUACACAAUGCAUGAUGUGAUGUCAUAAUUUUUGUAAAAUAGUGUGUAUAAUAACAAUACAAUUUAGGAGUGGAAAACUGUUCUCAGAAACCCUGGACUUCCUUAGAGUAGGAAGCUUUUUUGCACUAAGCUCACAAAGACUAGCUAGUCUUUUUGCUUCUUUUACUAGAAAGAUUAAACAAAAACCUUUAGAACGUCUGUAAUGUGCUAUCAAAGGUGAGUUGUAGGAUGCUUUGCUUCUCCAAGUUGUUGUUUAAAUAAAUCUGUAUUUGCCCCUUUCUAAGCA